AACGAACGCUGGCGGCGCGCCUAAUACAUGCAAGUCGAGCGAGAAGACGUAGCAAUACGUUUGUAAAGCGGCGAACGGGUGAGGAAUACAUGGGUAACCUACCCUCGAGUGGGGAAUAACUAGCCGAAAGGUUAGCUAAUACCGCGUACGCUCCUUGGACUUCGGUUCAGGGAGGAAAGCGAUACCGUGGGUAUCGCGCUCUUGGAUGGGCUCAUGUCCUAUCAGCUUGUUGGUGAGGUAACGGCUCACCAAGGCUUCGACGGGUAGCUGGUCUGAGAGGACGAUCAGCCACACUGGCACUGCGACACGGGCCAGACUCCUACGGGAGGCAGCAGUAAGGAAUAUUGCGCAAUGGGCGAAAGCCUGACGCAGCGACGCCGCGUGGGGGAUGAAGGUCUUCGGGUUGUAAAGCUCUUUCGGACGGAACGAAAUGGUUAGGUCGAAUACGCCUGACUGAUGACGGUA
This 465-nucleotide ribosomal RNA is filed under the name uncultured bacterium. Its description in RNAcentral is "bacterial SSU rRNA". It matches the Rfam family "Bacterial small subunit ribosomal RNA", at positions 29 to 477 of the family's 1533-position model. The record is from RNAcentral.